UCAAGGGCAUUUUCUCUUCAGCAUAAGGCAGCAUGACCUCUUCAAGUAUUCUGAUGUAUUCAAACUGAUCCAUGAUCCCUGGUAUGCGAUAAAUAGGCCCAACAUCUUAGUAUGAGACACAUCCUCAUAUCAUGAUGCUUGCCCAUCAUGCUU
Long non-coding RNA from Bufo bufo (common toad), 153 nucleotides. RefSeq lists it as uncharacterized. The transcript has 3 exons. The record is from RefSeq and is a predicted model, not a curated record. Lineage: Eukaryota; Metazoa; Chordata; Amphibia; Anura; Bufonidae.